GGUGAGUUGGAUGAGAGGUUUAAAUCGGCACCCUGCUAAGGUGUUUAUUCUGAAAACAGGGUACGAGAGUUCGAAUCUCUCACUCACCGCCA
RNAcentral lists this transfer RNA (92 nucleotides) under Methylotenera sp. RNAcentral's name for it is "tRNA-Ser". It matches the Rfam family "tRNA". From Rfam's summary of the family: Transfer RNA (tRNA) molecules are approximately 80 nucleotides in length. Their secondary structure includes four short double-helical elements and three loops (D, anti-codon, and T loops). Further hydrogen bonds mediate the characteristic L-shaped molecular structure. tRNAs have two regions of fundamental functional importance: the anti-codon, which is responsible for specific mRNA codon recognition, and the 3' end, to which the tRNAs corresponding amino acid is attached (by aminoacyl-tRNA synthetases). tRNAs cope with the degeneracy of the genetic code in two manners: having more than one tRNA (with a specific anti-codon) for a particular amino acid; and 'wobble' base-pairing, i.e. permitting non-standard base-pairing at the 3rd anti-codon position. The record is from RNAcentral. Lineage: Bacteria; Pseudomonadati; Pseudomonadota; Betaproteobacteria; Nitrosomonadales; Methylophilaceae.